AGUGAACGCUGGCGGUAGGCCUAACACAUGCAAGUCGAACGGCAGCACAGGAGAGCUUGCUCUCUGGGUGGCGAGUGGCGGACGGGUGAGGAAUACAUCGGAAUCUACUCUGUCGUGGGGGAUAACGUAGGGAAACUUGCGCUAAUACCGCAUACGACCUACGGGUGAAAGCAGGGGACCUUCGGGCCUUGCGCGAUUGAAUGAGCCGAUGUCGGAUUAGCUAGUUGGCGGGGUAAAGGCCCACCAAGGCGACGAUCCGUAGCUGGUCGGAGAGGAUGAUCAGCCACACUGGAACUGAGACACGGUCCAGACUCCUACGGGAGGAAGCAGUGGGGAAUAUUGGACAAUGGGCGCAAGCCUGAUCCAGCCAUACCGCAUGGGUGAAGAAGGCCUUCAGGUUGUAAAGCCCUUUUGUUGGGAAAGAAAUCCAGCUGGCUAAUACCCGGUUGGGAUGACGGUACCCAAAGAAUAAGCACCGGCUAACUUCGUGCCAGCCGCCGCAGUAA
This 506-nucleotide ribosomal RNA is filed under the name uncultured bacterium. Its description in RNAcentral is "partial 16S ribosomal RNA". It matches the Rfam family "Bacterial small subunit ribosomal RNA", at positions 29 to 523 of the family's 1533-position model. The record is from RNAcentral.